GACGAACGCUGGCGGCGUGCUUAACACAUGCAAGUCGAACGGAAAGGCCCUGCUUUUGUGGGGUGCUCGAGUGGCGAACGGGUGAGUAACACGUGAGUAACCUGCCCUUGACUUUGGGAUAACUUCAGGAAACUGGGGCUAAUACCGGAUAGGAGCUCCUGCUGCAUGGUGGGGGUUGGAAAGUUUCGGCGGUUGGGGAUGGACUCGCGGCCUAUCAGCUUGUUGGUGGGGUAGUGGCUUACCAAGGCUUUGACGGGUAGCCGGCCUGAGAGGGUGACCGGCCAAAUUGGGAUGAGGAUGCGGCCCAGACUCCUAGGGGAGGCAGCAGGGGGGAAUAUUGCAAAAUGGGCGGAAGCCUGAUGAAGCAACGCCGCGGGGGGGAUGGGGGCCUUCGGGUUGUAAACCGUUUUCGCCUGGAACGAAGGGGGGGGGGGGGUAAUGGGUAAAUAAGCACCGGCAAACUACGU
This 467-nucleotide ribosomal RNA is filed under the name uncultured bacterium. RNAcentral's name for it is "partial 16S ribosomal RNA". It matches the Rfam family "Bacterial small subunit ribosomal RNA", at positions 28 to 506 of the family's 1533-position model. The record is from RNAcentral.